UUGGAGGGCAAGUCUGGUGCCAGCAGCCGCGGUAAUUCCAGCUCCAAUAGCGUAUAUUAAAGUUGUUGCAGUUAAAAAGCUCGUAGUUGAACUUCGGGGUCUACCCAUUGGUCAGGCUUAAUUGUCUGCACUGGUGAGAUGGAUCUCUACCUUCUGAGGAACUUUCAUGCCAUUUAUUUGGUGUGAUGGGAAAUCAGGACUGUUACUUUGAAAAAAUUAGAGUGUUUAAAGCAGACUAUCGUCUGAAUACAUUAGCAUGGAAUAAUGAAAUAGGACGGACUGAUUCUAUUUCGUUGGUUUCUAGGAUCACCGUAAUGAUUAAUAGGGAUAGUUGGGGGCAUUAGUAUUCAAUUGUCAGAGGUGAAAUUCUUGGAUUUAUUGAAGACUAACUACUGCGAAAGCAUUUGCCAAGGAUGUUUUCAUUAAUCAAGAACGAAAGUUAGGGGAUCGAAGACGAUCAGAUACCGUCGUAGUCUUAACCAUAAACUAUGCCGACUAGGGAUCGGACGAAGUUAAUUUUAUAAUGACGCGUUCGGCGCCUUACGGGAAAC
Molecule: ribosomal RNA, 551 nt
Filed under: uncultured Glomeromycotina
Lineage: Eukaryota; Fungi; Glomeromycota
Also listed under: 2 other names
Description: SSU rRNA
Rfam family: Eukaryotic small subunit ribosomal RNA
Source: RNAcentral